AUUGAACGCUGGCGGCAUGCUUUACACAUGCAAGUCGAACGGUAACAGGCCUUCGGGUGCUGACGAGUGGCGAACGGGUGAGUAAUGCAUCGGAACGUACCCAGAGGUGGGGGAUAACGCAGCGAAAGCUGUGCUAAUACCGCAUGUGAUCUGAGGAUGAAAGCGGGGGACCGAGCAGCAAUGUUUGGCCUCGCGCCUUUGGAGCGGCCGAUGUCGGAUUAGCUAGUUGGUGGGGUAAAGGCCUACCAAGGCGACGAUCCGUAGCUGGUCUGAGAGGACGACCAGCCACACUGGGACUGAGACACGGUCCAGACUCCUACGGGAGGCAGCAGUGGGGAAUUUUGGGCAAUGGGCGAAAGCCUGAUCCAGCGAUGCCGCGUGCGGGAAGAAGGCCUUCGGGUUGUAAACCGCUUUUGGCAGGAACGAAACGGUGUCCGCUAAUACCGGGCGGUAAUGACGGUACCUGCAGAAUAAGCGCCGGCUAACUACGUG
RNAcentral lists this ribosomal RNA (492 nucleotides) under uncultured bacterium. RNAcentral's name for it is "partial 16S ribosomal RNA". It matches the Rfam family "Bacterial small subunit ribosomal RNA", at positions 29 to 507 of the family's 1533-position model. The record is from RNAcentral.